RNAcentral lists this ribosomal RNA (292 nucleotides) under uncultured bacterium. RNAcentral's name for it is "partial 16S ribosomal RNA". It matches the Rfam family "Bacterial small subunit ribosomal RNA", at positions 505 to 796 of the family's 1533-position model. The record is from RNAcentral.
GUGUCAGCCGCCGCGGUAAUACGUAGGUGGCAAGCGUUGUCCGGAUUUAUUGGGUUUAAAGGGUGCGUAGGCGGCCCUAUAAGUCAGUGCUGAAAUAUCCCGGCUUAACCGGGAGGGUGGCAUUGAUACUGUAGGGCUUGAGUGAAGUCGAGGUAGGCGGAAUUGACGGUGUAGCGGUGAAAUGCUUAGAUAUCGUCAAGAACACCGAUAGUGAAGACAGCUUACUAGACUUCAACUGACGCUGAGGCACGAAAGUGUGGGGAUCAAACAGGAUUAGAUACCCCUGUAGUCC